GGUGUGUACAAUCUUCCAAGAUGGCGUAGCAGUCAGACGUCUUGUUCUGUCGUGUCCCUUGUAUAUAUCGUUUGUACAUAUUUUUAUUCGCAUAUCUUUUUAAAUAUUUUGCUAAACCUCAACCUCUAAAUACUCUCCUGCAACCCGCCUCACCCAAUGUAGCGUGGAUCUGCUUUUUUUUCUAAAGUAUUUAUAUUUACUUCGGAUCUGGAACCCGUCAACUGAAGCUAGCCAGCUAACUACCAGCUAUCAGUCAGCAAACCAUUGCUAGCUGUCAUCAGCUAACCUUUAGCUCGGAAAGCUCUCGCCAGUUCGAACAACGCAACUCUAACCAGAGCAUAACGGACCUAUUAUUUUUAGUUCCGCAUACGGAACAUUUUCAACUGGAUCUUCACAACUAGCUAACCGCAACCCCGGAUGACUACUCCUGGCUAGCAUUUCCAUCCACUUAGGUUGAAGCUAGCCCGGCCAGAGCUACUGUGCUACUCCUGGGCUACAAUAUCCGGACAUCUUCUACAGCCGGUACGGGGCAUGGAACCCCGCAGAUCCCCUACGUCAGGAAUACUGACAUAAUCUGCCCGAGGACUCAGGCGCGACGCCUGUUGAAGGCCCAUUAUGCUAACCAGCUAGGCCUGCUUAGCUACCUAGAGCUAUUUGGAAUCCUACUAAUUCCAUGACCAGUCUAUCGACAUCACCGCAUGAAGAGGCAUAAACAGACUUAACUACAUCGUGACUUUCCCCAAAGGCUAACUUUCUAGCCCUUGCUAUCUGCUUGCUUGCUAAUUCGGCCUGCUAAAUGCUAGCCUGCCCGGGUCUACUAACUGCUAGCUUGUUUAGCCCCGGUAUGCUAACUGCUAGCUUGUUUAGCCCCGGCCUACUAACUGUUAGCUUGUUAGCACAGGCUUGCUAACUGUCUGAAUCGCCGUGUCCCCAGCCAGCCCAACCACUCACUGGACCCAUAUUUAUUUUCAAUCUCUUUUCGAUUUUUAAUUUGAUUAUACCUUCCAGUAACCUGCCUCACCCAAUGUGAUACGGAAUCGCUAUUAUUUUUAACUUUAGAACACAUUCAAGAACCUCCAGAAGCUAACCCGCUAACUAGCUACAAGCUAUUUAGUCAUUGUUAGCCACUGCUAUUACCUUCUGCACAGCCAGCCAGUUUUUUCAGCCUGGAUAAUACUCGCCAGUCUACCAGUAUCGAACUGUCUCUCCACAACAACGCUGGAUUCUUGCCGUAAUGGACCACUACUUCUGAUCUUCACAGCUAGCUUGCACCCAGUACCGAAGCUAUCCCUGAGGCCCACUUCCCGGCCUACUCAGCUGUUCACCCGAACCACACUCAUACAUGGCUAGAGCCCAAUACUCCACCGGAUACUUGCUGUAAACUCUGGACCUUGGCUAACGCCACUGCCACGAAGCUAGCACCAGUUAGCCGUGAGCCAGGCACAUCUCCCUGCUAGCAGGCACAUCUCCCUGCCAACCCCCUACCACCCCCGGGCUACUAACUUUAAACACUGUGUCGCUAGCAUAGUGGCGACUUCCCUCUCCCAUCUACUGCUGCCCCCUGGACACUGUGAUCACUUGGCUACAUAGCUGAUGCCUGCUGGACUGUCCAUUAUUCAUGGACCUGAGCCCUAGGACCAUGCCCCAGGACUACCUGACAUGAUGACUCCUUGCUGUCCCCAGUCCACCUGGCCGUGCUGCUGCUCCAGUUUCAACUGUUCUGCCUUAUUAUUAUUCGACCAUGCUGGUCAUUUAUGAACAUUUGAACAUCUUGGCCAUGUUCUGUUAUAAUCUCCACCCGGCACAGCCAGAAGAGGACUGGCCACCCC
This is a long non-coding RNA of Oncorhynchus tshawytscha (Chinook salmon), 1829 nucleotides long. NCBI's taxonomy places the organism in Eukaryota, Metazoa, Chordata, Actinopteri, Salmoniformes, Salmonidae. The record is from Ensembl.